GGGCCCGUGGCUCAGCUAGGUUAGAGCGCUCGACUGAUAAUCGAGAGGUCCUGAGUUCGAAUCUCAGCGGGCCCA
This 75-nucleotide transfer RNA is filed under the name Candidatus Altarchaeales archaeon ex4484_43. Its description in RNAcentral is "Candidatus Altiarchaeales archaeon ex4484_43 tRNA-Ile". It matches the Rfam family "tRNA". Rfam says of the family: Transfer RNA (tRNA) molecules are approximately 80 nucleotides in length. Their secondary structure includes four short double-helical elements and three loops (D, anti-codon, and T loops). Lineage: Archaea; Nanobdellati; Candidatus Altarchaeota; Candidatus Altarchaeia; Candidatus Altarchaeales. The record is from RNAcentral.